Molecule: ribosomal RNA, 440 nt
Filed under: uncultured bacterium
Lineage: Bacteria
Description: bacterial SSU rRNA
Rfam family: Bacterial small subunit ribosomal RNA
Source: RNAcentral
CCUACGGGUGGCAGCAGUAGGGAAUUUUCGGCAAUGGGGGAAACCCUGACCGAGCAACGCCGCGUGAAGGAAGAAGUAAUUCGUUAUGUAAACUUCUGUCAUAGAGGAAGAACGGUGGAUAUAGGGAAUGAUAUCCAAGUGACGGUACUCUAUAAGAAAGCCACGGCUAACUACGUGCCAGCAGCCGCGGUAAUACGUAGGUGGCGAGCGUUAUCCGGAAUUAUUGGGCGUAAAGAGGGAGCAGGCGGCACUAAGGGUCUGUGGUGAAAGAUCGAAGCUUAACUUCGGUAAGCCAUGGAAACCGUAGAGCUAGAGUGUGUGAGAGGAUCGUGGAAUUCCAUGUGUAGCGGUGAAAUGCGUAGAUAUAUGGAGGAACACCAGUGGCGAAGGCGGCUCUCUGGUCUGUAACUGACGCUGAGGCUCGAAAGCGUGGGGAGCAA